AGUGAUGUUUGGCAUAUGAAAGACAAUGAUGGACCAAGGCAAUGAUAAUUUCAUGUCCUUUGGUGUUGGAGAUGAUCCACUCGUCAUCCAGAGAAUUGAUUCCAAUGAAAUUAUAUAUUGCCCACCAAAGAGAAAGUACAAGUUGAUUGGGAAGUAUGUUUUGGGUGAUAAGCUUGGGGAAGGAAGUUAUGGCAAAGUAAAAGAAUGCCUAGAUAAAGACACCCUCCAGCGUCGAGCUGUGAAGAUAUGAAGAAGAAAACACUUAGAAGGAAUUCCAAAUGGAGACCAAAAUGUAAGAAGAGAAUACGUCUGUUAAGGAAUCUGAGGCACAAGAAUGUCAUUAAUUUAAUUGAUGUGUAUCACAAUGAUGGAGAAAGGAAAGGUAAGACUAGAGGAAUUUACAUGGUGAUGGACUUCUGUGUUACUGGGUUGCAGGAAAUGUUAGACCGAACUACCAAAAAAAAGUUCCCUAUUUGGCAGGCUCACAAAUAUUUUGUACAGUUGGUGGAAGGCCUGGAGUAUUUACAUAGCAGAGGUGUUAUUCAUAAGGACAUUAAACCAGGGAACCUUCUCCUAGAUACUGAGAGUGUUUUGAAAAUAUCAGAUUUUGGAGUUGCUGAGCAACUGGAUGUCAUUACUGGUAACGAUCAUAUCACCACAAGUCAAGGUUCUCCCCUAUUUCAACCUCCAGAGGUUGCAGGAGGAGCUAGAAUUUUCCCAGGCUUCAAAGUUGAUGUUUGGAGUGCUGGUUGUACUUUAUUUAACUUAACAAGUGGGAAGUACCCUUUUGAAGGUGAGAACAUGUAUCGACUCUUUGAAAAUAUAUGUGAAAAACCUCUAGUCGUACCUCCAGAGUUAGAUCCUGUUCUCUCAUCAUUAUUGGAAGGCAUGCUGGUAAAGGAUCCUUAUCAGCGUAUGUCUUUGGCUCAAGUGAAAUGUCAUGAUUGGUGUUGUAAGAAGCAUCCGUGUACUGACGAAGAAGCACCAAUUGGAGGUGAUGAUAGCCAGCACAGCAUAAGUAUAUUACCUUACUUGCGUUCUCAUUUUUAUGAAUCGGAAUCAGAAGAUGAGCUCAUCACAGAACAUCAGCUUAAUGAAUCAAGAAAACAGGCGGAAUGUGGCUCAGAAACAUCAAUCUCAGACAUCCAGGAUACACGAGAUAGAUCCAACAAGCAUAGGCGAAGGAAACCUACCUCUUGUAUUAGUGUCAAAUCUUUAGCAUCUUGCAAACAAUCUUGACACGCCAUGUCCAAACAACUUAGGCUUUCAAGGAAUCCUUCCUGCUAUUUAGAAGAUGGUGGCUGUCCUACAGGGAGAAGCUUGAUGGCAGUGGAAGAAAAGGUUGUUGAGACUGAAAUAUGGUGUCAUAUUUUGCAUCACGCUACAGUUGACUUGUCAGUCAGAUGAAGAAGAAAACCAGAGUAUCUGCAAAGGACUCAGAUCAAGCUAUCACUCUGGAUGUGUUAAAACCCCACUAAGCAUUUGCUUCUCAAUAUGUGAAACAGGAUACCUCAGUUAUUAUUAGUAAUUAUUGUACCUUUGUUAUAGGUACAAGAAAGUGCCUUCCAGAGGUACACUCUUAUGAUAUAAAGAAAUAUAUUAUACAACAUAAAGUUAGCAUAGUUUGACCAGAGUUGGGGUUGUUGAAGAUUAUGGUGAAACAGUUUUGUCUCCUUAGUUAUCAAGCAUUUAUGUUUGGGAUAUGAAAUGAUGUUGAAAGGGAAUUGAUCUAAAGUACAUAGACUUGAUAUAUUCAAGAUGUAAAUUGAUGUUAUGUUAAUGUUACAUUGUCUGUGAUUUGCGUAUUACUGUGGUAUCAUUUGUUUUGCAUGACUUGUCAACAAUGCCAAGACUGCUGAAACGUAGCUAGUGAGGAGUUCUUUUAUUCUUACCUGACAGAACAGUUAUCAAGAACUGAUAACUGUAUUCAAGAAAAUUUACCACCAGUUCCCACAGAUAAAGGGGAAGUUCAUGAAAGAGUGCAGUGAUAUUCCACUAGUAAUUUGAUAAGUAAGGGACACUAUCUGUCUGUGUUAUUAUCCUGUGUUCCUUGAAAGACAAACUGCAUUACGUAUAUAGAAGAUAUUUGUAUAAAAAAAAUAGCAUUGCAGUGCUGAUCUUGUAACCAAAAAUUGAGGCCUUAACAAUACCAGGCAUUUUUUAACUGCCAUGUUGUCAUAAAGCAGGGAGUGGAACAACCUGAUCAUCAUGUUAGGGGUUAGAUGACUUUUAACUCAAAAUCUCUACCAAUAUUAUGGUAUGUGUUAGCCUUAUCUUAAGUGUCAUUAAUUUUACUCUUUAAUUGCCAAAUACUGGGGAAUUUACUAGCUUGUAAGUUAUUGUUUAAUCAUUUUGAACAUCAUAUGCAUAGGAUUUUUUAUUUUUCUUGUGAUGAAGUAUUUACAUUGAUUUAGGACAGGGAACUAUCGUAUUGCUAGCUUUCAUAUUUUAGGAAAAUCACAAUUUUUACAUUAAGUAGGAAGAUUUUUCAAACUUGUGUAAACAUUUAUAAAGUUUUAACAUGAAACACUAAUAGGUUUGGGAUUGUAUAAUUUUACAUUUUAUAGGUGAUUCUAGAAGAUUCAUCCAUGGGGUCCAGUUGUUCAAGUAAUAGUGGAUGUUUUAGGAAAAAGCUAACAAUCAUGAGAAGAAAACAUGUUCUCUCUCUUUCUCUCUCUCUCUCUCUCUCUGGUGCUGAAGGAUAAGGAUUUUCAAACCACACUGAAAUUUUGUUAGUUACAUAGAGAAGAUGCAAAUGCCUUUUAGUUGAUACUGUAAGUAAUUUAAGUUCUAUCCCUAGUAUGGUUAGACUAUUUGGCAUUUUUCCACAUAUUUUUAUAAUGCUGCUAUUUAUUCCAUAAGAUAUUAGAGUGAAUAGACCUUAUAAGAAAACAGCAACAUUUUGCAGGGAAUUCUCCUCUUUCAAAGCUAUUUAUGGAGUUUGAUAAAAAAAUUUCUUUUCAUUUUCUCAUGAUUGCUACUGGUUCAUGGAGAAGGAUGUUUCACGUAGCAUAAAAGAACACAGUAGGAUUUGGUCAGUAUAAGUAGGAUUAAACUAUUUUCCAAUGCAUAUCUGUGAUAAGAAAGGAUGGCUCCGAUAGGUUUAGGUUUUGCACUACUUUGCAUGGAGGAUCAGAGGUGAAUUUAAGUAGGACUGCAUAUCUGAUGUCAGGUUAUGUUGUUAGUUUGUUAGAUCAGAUUUUGCUAAGUCUCUACUUCCUCAUGUAUAGACAUGUAUCUACAUUUAUCACUUUUAUUUUGUAAUAUAUGAUAUUAACUGAUUUACAGUUGGAGACAAACAAUUUUCCUUGCAGAAUUUGGUGCCUAAUUCUUCUUCAGUAUUCUAUGUGCCAUUAUGUUAGUUUGUUUAGUUUUAAUGUUAUUUAUCCGACCUAUGCUAAAAUGUUUUGGAAUUGCAGUAAUUUUGGUUAUUGACAAAUACAAAAAUUCACAGAAAUUUCAUAAAAUGUGGUUUUGUUAAAGCCAUAGAAGGGUUCUCUGGUCAGUCUUUAAGCUGUAUCUAAAUAAUAGAUUUCAGAUUUAGCUCAUGAUUGAGUGCUACCAUUUAAAGUAGUGGAUAACCCAGAAACAAUGAAGGAAAUUGGAGUUUUAAAAUAAUUAAUUCUAUUGUACUAGUAUUUAUAUAUAUCGUGUGAGUUUCAGUGCUUAAGAAACCUCCAUCAUUACACACAAAUUUUGCGGAAACCUAUAUUCACACCUUAUUUAUAUUUCACCAAUCAGUUAUGUAAUGUGUUGUUCAGCAAUAUUUUAUUUUGUUUUUGAGUAACUUUGGGAAUGGGUAGAACCUUGUUUUAAUAGAUUAAUAUCCAACAUAUUUCUAGAUAGAUAUUCAUCUCUUUGACUUAACAGUAUUUCAGUGAAACAGUCAUUAAGAUCUUAUUCUUUUACUCUUGUAUAUCAUGCCAAUUUUGUAAAUGAAUAUGUGAGUUAAUGGUGUUCUAUGUUAGGUAUUUGUGACUUUUGCUCAAACCUUUGCCUUUUUUAUUUUAUGAUUUUUACCUAUGUUUUAUAAGACAGAUUUUAUAUUUAUUACAAGUAUUUUCUGUAUAUUUUUCUAUGUUGGUUUCACCAUAUACUAUUUUUAUCAAAUUUUAUCAUCUUGAUUUUUUGUGUGCCAUUAAUAUUAUGUAGAUAUUUCCUUUAUUCACUGUAGCUUAUUAUAAUGUUGUGUUACAUUAAACUUAAUUUUGUGGGUGGGAAUAUUUUUUAGGUAAGCUUAUGAUCAUCAAAACGCAUUUAAGUUCUGAAGAUGUUCUUUGGAGCAGAACUCACACUUUAAAUUUAGGCAGAAGUAAGAGCUAUGAUGUUGCUGAUUCGUGGAGAAUCAAGGUUAUUGUGUGGUCUCGUUAAAUAAUUAAUUAAAGACAAUAUAAUAUAGAGUGUACAAUAUGCACUUGUCAUGUCAUGUUAGCGAGAUAAGUUUUGUUAUUCCAUGUGCCAUGUCAAAACUUGUAUUUUUACCAAUUUGUACACUUCUUUGCAUUUAGCUGGAUGCCACAUUUUGCAGUUGUGAGCUUAGAGCUGGAUAUUAGGCUACAGGUUUAAUAGACAUGGUGGCAUCUUUCUUUGGUUUUUUAUCAGACUUGUUUUUAGGUGGUUUUGCCUUUGGAAUAUGGUACUCAUACUUAAGAAGGACAGGAGUGUCUUCUUGUAUUAUGAUAAGAAUAGAAGAAUGUUAGUUAAGCAGAAUAAGUAAACAUUAGGGAAAGAUUUUAGCAGAUUAAACAGAAUUGAAACAUAAGCAGCUUAACAUAAAGAAAUUAACAAAAUGUAUAAGUGUAUACUAGUAAUAAACAACUUUUGCCAAGGACUAUGAAAACAUUAAUUAAGAGGGCUAUGAAAGAAACAUCAAUCAGUUUUAGGAAUAGUAAUCAAAAUAAAUAAAAUACAGGCUGCAAAUUACUGGAUAUGGAAAAUAAAGAUUAAUAUGAAAAAAGGAUUUUUUUGUUGGCUGAAACAUUUGGAUUUAUUAGACAAUGUAUUUUGAAACCAAAAAUCAGUUUCCAAAAGUACCAGCUUGCUUGUGUUUUGUAGAAAUUUUUGUGUUAGCGGAUAAUUAUACUUAGAUGUCCCAAGAAUAGUAAGUGGAGAAAUCGGGCAAAAUAGAUGUAACAGUUGGCAUAAGUUUAAGAUGAUCUUAUGUAAAACAUAUUUAGUUUACCAAAUUAAGUGAUAUAGUGCAUACACAAAUGGAAAAGCUAUGACAAUAACAACCAAUAGAGACAGAAUGAAGUAGGACAAUAGCUGUUAAUAUAGAACAGUCUUCACUGAUAGUGACUGAUGACUUUGAGCAUGCUUUCUUGUACCUAAAAGUUUGUGAUGAUAGUUAUUUAUAUCAUCAUUAUUUAGUUUGAUCAUGAUUUUCAUUAUACAUAGAUGUAUGGAGAACACUUAGAAAUGUUGCAGUUUGGUAGUACAUAGUAGCGCCUCCCUCUCCAUCUAACUGCCACAAAAUAAGGAGGAUUAAACUAGUAAUUUUCAGGCAAAGUUUUUGUUUGUUUGGCUAGGCAAAGACAAAGAAAAAUAACCAACUGUUAGUGAUUAAUGAAUGAAAUAUCUGGCAGAAAAGCCAAGGAUGGCGACAGUUUUAACUGAUACCAAUAAUAAAGUGAAACUUAGUUGGACGGUUGUCAGUAAUACUUUUGAGUAUUUGUUGUGCAAGGCACUUGGAUUAUCAGCCAGUUUUUUUAUCACGGUGUUUUACUGGUUUUAGGUAGAACUGUUUAGCUGAUAUCUUAAGCUGUUAAUUUACGUUAGUGGCACAUUUUGUGAGAGCAUUUGGUCUGUGGAGGAUGUAUCUGGAACCAAAAGUAUCACUCCUCCUCUGUAAAACAAACACACAACAGGCAACAUUUGUUUUGUGCCAAAAAUACUUUUAAAAAAACUCCAUCUGUGCGCUGCUUCCAUAUAAUAGGCUCUGAAAUAAGGCUUGGAAAUUCACUUAUUAUUUCAAUAUAUAUAUAUAUAUAUAUUAUGCAGUCAUAGUACUCCAGGUUUUCCUUUAAGAUUUCUGGUUAAAUACUUUGUUAUGUAUUCCUGUAGUCUCAUAUUAUGUGAAAUUGAGAAUCCGCACUAAUUACUUGUAUCAUGAUUGACCAGAACCCUAAUAUGUUCAAAAUUACUUAUGAUAAUCUUGGUGUUGUAAGAAUUUUGCUUUCACUUAGUAUACUAUACUAUUACAUUAAAUUUGCUUGUAAUAGGUUGUAGGUGAAAGAUAAAAGAUUAUUUAUUAUUAAGUUCCUGUUAUCGUUGUCAAGAUGACUCAUUUUAUCUUGAUGUAUCACCUUCACAAACUAGUAGGCUAACUCAUCCCAAGUACAUAUGUACUCAGGUUGUUCCACCACAAAGCUAACGUGACCUGUAUCUCCCACCCUGUUAUCAAUCCCAGGGCAGCUCAGCUUUUGCUUGAAUGGCAGGGGCACCAACUGAACUCUGAAUUCUCCUCCUCUCCUUCACUUUUGGUACGUUACACUGGGUUCAGUUGGAGUAAAAACAUAAAUGAGGACUGUAAAAGAUCACAGCAACAGACCUGUUGCUUCUGUCAGAUGCUUUUGUAGCCUUUCAGGAUAGAAGUGAUGUUGCUUACUUACUGCAAUGACUGUGCUUCAUUUCUAUGUACUCUUUUGGCAACAGCAUGGAAAUUUAUUUUUAGUUUUCAUUUUGAUUCUUAUUCUUGUUAAUUGUGCUUAUGAGAAUUAUUUCACAUAUAUAGCUCUACUAUUUGGGUGCCAGAUUUGAAUGAUGAUAUUUUUUCCAUACAGUACAUGGAUAUUUCUGGUAUCAAAAGCGAAAGGAGAGAUAUUAUCAUGCAUUUAUUUGUAUGUAAAGAAGAAUGUUGAAUGUUGAUGUUAAAAUGUAAGAUAUUGUAAAGUGGUUUAGUAGUACAAGUAUGUAAAUAACGAUUCCAGCCUAGUGGCUUAGCGUUUAUAUGCGGCACAUUAAAUGCACAUUUUGUAUAUACAUUCUUCAUAUCCACUUUCAAAAUUUGAUUCAUUCAAAUACCCUGUUUCUCUUUACUAUGUCCUGUUCACAUUCUUUUAUAUACUAUUCACAUCUUGUUUUUAUUGUGUUUAUCUUUGGCAAGGCAUUAUCUUUAUGUGUAUUUUUCAGAUAAAUGUACACAUAA
This is an RNA transcript of Macrobrachium nipponense, 7147 nucleotides long. It is a transcript of the gene named serine/threonine-protein kinase stk11-like, with no coding region annotated. The record is from RefSeq and is a predicted model, not a curated record. The transcript has 8 exons. Lineage: Eukaryota; Metazoa; Arthropoda; Malacostraca; Decapoda; Palaemonidae.